RNAcentral lists this ribosomal RNA (469 nucleotides) under uncultured bacterium. RNAcentral's name for it is "bacterial SSU rRNA". It matches the Rfam family "Bacterial small subunit ribosomal RNA", at positions 335 to 799 of the family's 1533-position model. The record is from RNAcentral.
ACUCCUACGGGAGGCAGCAGUGGGGAAUAUUGCACAAUGGGCGCAAGCCUGAUGCAGCCAUGCCGCGUGUAUGAAGAAGGCCUUCGGGUUGUAAAGUACUUUCAGCAGUGAGGAAGGUAGUGUAGUUAAUAGCUGCAUUAUUUGACGUUAGCUGCAGAAGAAGCACCGGCUAACUCCGUGCCAGCAGCCGCGGUAAUACGGAGGGUGCGAGCGUUAAUCGGAAUUACUGGGCGUAAAGCGCACGUAGGCGGAUCGGAAAGUUGGGGUGAAAUCCCGGGGCUCAACCCCGGAACGGCCUCCAAAACUAUCGGUCUAGAGUUCGAGAGAGGUGAGUGGAAUUCCGAGUGUAGAGGUGAAAUUCGUAGAUAUUCGGAGGAACACCAGUGGCGAAGGCGGCUCACUGGCUCGAUACUGACGCUGAGGUGCGAAAGUGUGGGAGCAAACAGGAUUAGAUACCUGGUAGGCUCUG